GUGGGGAAUAUUGCGCAAUGGGGGAAACCCUGACGCAGCGACGCCGCGUGCGGGAUGAAGGCCUUCGGGUUGUAAACCGCUUUUGAUUGGGAGCAAGCUUUCGGGUGAGUGUACCUUUCGAAUAAGCGCCGGCUAACUACGUGCCAGCAGCCGCGGUAAUACGUAGGGCGCAAGCGUUAUCCGGAAUUAUUGGGCGUAAAGAGCUUGUAGGCGGUUCGUCGCGUCUGGUGUGAAAGCCCAUCGCUUAACGGUGGGUCUGCGCCGGGUACGGGCGGGCUAGAGUGCAGUAGGGGAGACUGGAAUUCCCGGUGUAACGGUGGAAUGUGUAGAUAUCGGGAAGAACACCAAUGGCGAAGGCAGGUCUCUGGGCUGUUACUGACGCUGAGAAGCGAAAGCGUGGGGAGCGAACAGGAUUAGAUACCCCAGUAGUCC
This 432-nucleotide ribosomal RNA is filed under the name uncultured bacterium. RNAcentral's name for it is "bacterial SSU rRNA". It matches the Rfam family "Bacterial small subunit ribosomal RNA", at positions 354 to 796 of the family's 1533-position model. The record is from RNAcentral.